RNAcentral lists this ribosomal RNA (253 nucleotides) under uncultured bacterium. RNAcentral's name for it is "partial 16S ribosomal RNA". It matches the Rfam family "Bacterial small subunit ribosomal RNA", at positions 524 to 776 of the family's 1533-position model. The record is from RNAcentral.
UACGUAGGGGGCGAGCGUUGUCCGGAUUCAUUGGGCGUAAAGCGCGUGUAGGCGGUCCGGUAAGUCCGCUGUGAAAGUCGGGGGCUCAACCCUCGGAUGCCGGUGGAUACUGUCGGGCUUGAGUACGGAAGAGGCGAGUGGAAUUCCUGGUGUAGCGGUGAAAUGCGCAGAUAUCAGGAGGAACACCAAUUGCGAAGGCAGCUCGCUGGGACGUUACUGACGCUGAGACGCGAAAGCGUGGGGAGCAAACAGG